GACGAACGCUGGCGGCGUGCUUAACACAUGCAAGUCGAACGGAAAGGCCCUGCUUUUGUGGGGUGCUCGAGUGGCGAACGGGUGGGUAACACGUGAGUAACCUGCCCUUGACUUUGGGAUAACUUCAGGAAACUGGGGCUAAUACCGGAUAGGAGCUCCUGCUGCAUGGUGGGGGUUGGAAAGUUUGGGCGGUUGGGGAUGGACUCGCGGCUUAUCAGCUUGUUGGUGGGGUAGUGGCUUACCAAGGCUUUGACGGGUAGCCGGCCUGAGAGGGUGACCGGCCACAUUGGGACUGAGAUACGGCCCAGACUCCUACGGGAGGCAGCAGUGGGGAAUAUUGCACAAUGGGCGGAAGCCUGAUGCAGCAACGCCGCGUGCGGGAUGACGGCCUUCGGGUUGUAAACCGCUUUCGCCUGUGACGAAGCGUGAGUGACGGUAAUGGGUAAAGAAGCACCGGCUAACUACGUG
Molecule: ribosomal RNA, 468 nt
Filed under: uncultured bacterium
Lineage: Bacteria
Description: partial 16S ribosomal RNA
Rfam family: Bacterial small subunit ribosomal RNA
Source: RNAcentral